RNAcentral lists this ribosomal RNA (429 nucleotides) under Fusobacteriota bacterium. RNAcentral's name for it is "Fusobacteria bacterium partial 16S ribosomal RNA". It matches the Rfam family "Bacterial small subunit ribosomal RNA", at positions 355 to 776 of the family's 1533-position model. Lineage: Bacteria; Fusobacteriati; Fusobacteriota. The record is from RNAcentral.
UGGGGAAUAUUGCGCAAUGGGCGAAAGCCUGACGCAGCGACGCCGCGUGAGGGAUGAAGGUUUUCGGAUCGUAAACCUCUGUCAGAAGGGAAGAAACCGCACUGUGCUAAUCAGCAGUGCCUUGACGGUACCUUCAAAGGAAGCACCGGCUAACUCCGUGCCAGCAGCCGCGGUAAUACGGAGGGUGCAAGCGUUAAUCGGAAUUACUGGGCGUAAAGCGCACGUAGGCUGCUUUGUAAGUCAGGGGUGAAAUCGCACGGCUCAACCGUGGAACUGCCUUUGAUACUGCUUAGCUUGAAUCCGGGAGAGGGUGGCGGAAUUCCAGGUGUAGGAGUGAAAUCCGUAGAUAUCUGGAGGAACAUCAGUGGCGAAGGCGGCCACCUGGACCGGUAUUGACGCUGAGGUGCGAAAGCGUGGGGAGCAAACAGG